Molecule: ribosomal RNA, 274 nt
Filed under: uncultured bacterium
Lineage: Bacteria
Description: partial 16S ribosomal RNA
Rfam family: Bacterial small subunit ribosomal RNA
Source: RNAcentral
AUACGGAGGGUGCGAGCGUUAAUCGGAAUUACUGGGCGUAAAGCGUACGUAGGCGGUUGGUUAAGUUAGAUGUGAAAGCCCCGGGCUUAACCUGGGAACUGCAUUUAAAACUGGCGAACUAGAGUUGAGUAGAGGGGAGUGGAAUUUCAGGUGUAGCGGUGAAAUGCGUAGAGAUCUGAAGGAACACCAGUGGCGAAGGCGACUCCCUGGACUCGAACUGACGCUGAGGUACGAAAGCGUGGGUAACAAACGGGAUUAGAAACCCGGGUAGUCC